GGAGGGUGCCGCUCAGGGGUGGAGCACGUGCUUAGCAUGCACGAGGUCCUGGGUUCCAAUCCCAGUCCCUCCA
RNAcentral lists this transfer RNA (73 nucleotides) under Camelus dromedarius (Arabian camel). It matches the Rfam family "tRNA". From Rfam's summary of the family: Transfer RNA (tRNA) molecules are approximately 80 nucleotides in length. RNAcentral also lists the same sequence under 1 other name. The record is from Rfam by way of RNAcentral. Lineage: Eukaryota; Metazoa; Chordata; Mammalia; Artiodactyla; Camelidae.